Molecule: long non-coding RNA, 603 nt
Organism: Orbicella faveolata
Lineage: Eukaryota; Metazoa; Cnidaria; Anthozoa; Scleractinia; Merulinidae
Source: RefSeq, a predicted model, not a curated record
AUAACUCAACUCCAACGCUCGUUAACAGGUAAAGAAGGGUUUCAUUUGAGAUGUCGAGAUAACUCAACUCCAACGCUCGUCAACAGGUAAAGAAGGGUUUCAUUUGAGAUUAUAGCGGCGGAAAUCUGGCGAAGAGCUACGGAGUUUGUUUUAUUUAACUCUGAUAACGAGUGCAUUGUUGUUUAUUGUACGCGAAAGAUAUGUACACUGAAAAUGUUUUAAUUUUUAUUGAUUUUUGAUUGUUGUAGCAUUACAAAAUAAAGUUCUUCUAUAACUUUACAAACUUUUGUCAGUUUACUGAAAACUAUGCUUGCAAGACUCUUUUGCAGAAGCCUUACAAAUGACGACUCACAGAAAAGAAAAUUUUCAAUCUUGGAAGGACGGCAAAAAUUAAUGUGGAUUAUAACUUUACAAACUUGUGUCAGUUUACGGAAAACUAUGCUUGCAAGACUGUUUCGCAGAAGCCUCACAGAAAAGAAAAUUUUCAAUCUUGGAAGGACGGCAAAAAUUAAUGUGGAUUAUAACUUUACAAACUUGUGUCAGUUUACGGAAAACUAUGCUUGCAAGACUGUUUAGCAGAAGCCUUACAAAUGACAACUCACA